GUGCAGGAUCCAUGGUGAGAUGACAAAAGAGGAAACACACUACAUGGAGAGAAGUACAAAUAAAGUAUUUCUGAACAAUAAAGGACAGAGUAAGAUAAUGAAUACCUGGAAUUACAUAUUAUUACUAGUUAGUAGAUCUCUUCUGUCAUCAUUAUUUACCCAUACACCAGUGGUGCAAAUUGACGUGUUUCCUCAUAUGAAAAUGAAAGUAACUGUGGUUACAAAAUGUAGCGCACAUUUCUCUGCAACAUUAGAAGCAGGAUAAAUGUGUUGAUUUGAAGGACAGACGUACAGACUCUGGAUCCAUUUUGAGAUGACAGAGCAGAAAACACUAUAUGGACAAUACUGACAAAUAAAGGGAAGCCUGGGCAACUGAAAUGUCUGAGCUUUUUCAACAGUGUAACUAUGAACAUCUGUACCAAAACCAAAUGAAGGGAGACAUAGAUAUGAUUAAAAAACAACUGUUGAUCCAACAUGAAAAUAAAAUGGGUGGAGGAGAUGAAUCAUAAACCCAAAUUGAGAACAUUUAGUUUGAUUCAGGGUGAAUUGGUGUGUGAGAGAUAUAUUAUGUAUAACAGGUAAGAUCAGGGAUAUUGUCUCUGCGUAUUGAAACAGGUAAGAUCAGGGAUAUUGUCUCUGUGUAUUGAAACAGGUAAGAUCAGGGAUAUUGUCUCUGAGUAUUGAAACAGGUCAGAUCAGGGAUAUUGCCUCUGCGUAUUGAAACAGGUAAGAUCAGGGAUAUUGUCUCUGAGUAUUGAAACAGGUUAGAUCAGGGAUAUUUCCUCUGCGUAUUGAAACAGGCCAGAUCAGGGAUAUUGUCUCUGAGUAUUGAAACAGGUCAGUAUUGUGGUGAAAUGGAAGAGGAAAGACUAUGUAACUAUUGUGACUUCAACGAAAUAGAGAAUGAAACUGAUUUAAUCCUCUAUUUCCUUUUCUACCACGAUAUACGCUUGCUCUUAUUCCAGAAAGACCACCAGAUAUACCCUGGCAGUAUGUGGCUGAGUGAUGAGGUGAAAUUGAAAUGUUUUUUUGUCCAUUGUGUAUUUCCGUUUGUGGAAUAUUUAGAUAAAUCCUGGAAUAUAAGAAAAAUGUUUACCUAUAAUUAAAUUGUAAAAAUAUUUAGCUUUUACGUGGUAAAUGGUAUGUGUGUAUAUAGAUUGUGUAUAGACUUGUCUCCCAUAUGAAUCUUCUAUGUGGUAAAUGGUAUGUGUGUAUAUAGAUUGUGUAUAGACUUGUCUCCCAUAUGAAUCUUCUCUUUGUGUCAGACUGGGUUCAAAUUCCUUCUGUUUAUUUUUUUCUGUAUUUAUUUAUCUGUAUAUGUUAUGUAUGUAUAUAUAUACAGUAUGUAUAUAUGUAUGUAUGUGCAUAUAUUUACAUUUAAGUCAUUUAGCAGACGCUCUUAUCCAGAGCGACUUACAAAUUGGUGCAUUCACCUUAUGAUAUCCAGUGGAAC
Salmo salar (Atlantic salmon) is the source of this 1453-nucleotide non-coding RNA. Lineage: Eukaryota; Metazoa; Chordata; Actinopteri; Salmoniformes; Salmonidae. The record is from RefSeq and is a predicted model, not a curated record.